UCUCCCUACUUUACGCAGCAGUGGGGAAUAUUUCACAAUUGGGGAAACCCUUAUGCAGCGACGCCGCGUUAGCUAAGAAGUAUUUCGGUAUGUAAAGCUCUAUCAGCAGGGAAGAAAAAUGACGGUACCUGAGUAAGAAGCACCGGCUAAAUACGUGCCAGCAGCCGCGGUAAUACGUAUAGUGCAAGCGUUAUCCGGAUUUACUGGGUGUAAAGGGAGCGCAGGCGGUGCGGCAAGUCUGAUGUGAAAGCCCGGGGCUCAACCCCGGGACUGCAUUGGAAACUACCGAACUA
Molecule: ribosomal RNA, 293 nt
Filed under: uncultured bacterium
Lineage: Bacteria
Description: partial 16S ribosomal RNA
Rfam family: Bacterial small subunit ribosomal RNA
Source: RNAcentral